UCUCGCGUCAGGAUAUGCCUAGGUGGGAUUAGCUAGUUGGUGAGGUAAUGGCUCACCAAGGCGACGAUCCCUAGCUGGUCUGAGAGGAUGAUCAGCCACACUGGAACUGAGACACGGUCCAGACUCCUACGGGAGGCAGCAGUGGGGAAUAUUGCACAAUGGGCGCAAGCCUGAUGCAGCCAUGCCGCGUGUGUGAAGAAGGCCUUCGGGUUGUAAAGCACUUUCAGUCGUGAGGAAGGUGGUGUAGUUAAUAGCUGCAUUACUUGACGUUAGCGACAGAAGAAGCACCGGCUAACUCCGUGCCAGCAGCCGCGGUAAUACGGAGGGUGCGAGCGUUAAUCGGAAUUACUGGGCGUAAAGCGCAUGCAGGUGGUUUGUUAAGUCAGAUGUGAAAGCCCGGGGCUCAACCUCGGAAUAGCAUUUGAAACUGGCAGACUAGAGUACUGUAGAGGGGGGUAGAAUUUCA
RNAcentral lists this ribosomal RNA (466 nucleotides) under Vibrio harveyi. Its description in RNAcentral is "bacterial SSU rRNA". It matches the Rfam family "Bacterial small subunit ribosomal RNA", at positions 213 to 671 of the family's 1533-position model. Lineage: Bacteria; Pseudomonadati; Pseudomonadota; Gammaproteobacteria; Vibrionales; Vibrionaceae. The record is from RNAcentral.